Molecule: ribosomal RNA, 876 nt
Filed under: Vibrio brasiliensis
Lineage: Bacteria; Pseudomonadati; Pseudomonadota; Gammaproteobacteria; Vibrionales; Vibrionaceae
Description: bacterial SSU rRNA
Rfam family: Bacterial small subunit ribosomal RNA
Source: RNAcentral
CAUGCAAGUCGAGCGGAAACGAGUUAACUGAACCUUCGGGGAACGUUAACGGCGUCGAGCGGCGGACGGGUGAGUAAUGCCUGGGAAAUUGCCCUGAUGUGGGGGAUAACCAUUGGAAACGAUGGCUAAUACCGCAUAAUAGCUUCGGCUCAAAGAGGGGGACCUUCGGGCCUCUCGCGUCAGGAUAUGCCCAGGUGGGAUUAGCUAGUUGGUGAGGUAAUGGCUCACCAAGGCGACGAUCCCUAGCUGGUCUGAGAGGAUGAUCAGCCACACUGGAACUGAGACACGGUCCAGACUCCUACGGGAGGCAGCAGUGGGGAAUAUUGCACAAUGGGCGCAAGCCUGAUGCAGCCAUGCCGCGUGUAUGAAGAAGGCCUUCGGGUUGUAAAGUACUUUCAGCAGUGAGGAAGGCGGGGACGUUAAUAGCGGCCUCGUUUGACGUUAGCUGCAGAAGAAGCACCGGCUAACUCCGUGCCAGCAGCCGCGGUAAUACGGAGGGUGCGAGCGUUAAUCGGAAUUACUGGGCGUAAAGCGCAUGCAGGUGGUUUGUUAAGUCAGAUGUGAAAGCCCGGGGCUCAACCUCGGAAUUGCAUUUGAAACUGGCAGACUAGAGUACUGUAGAGGGGGGUAGAAUUUCAGGUGUAGCGGUGAAAUGCGUAGAGAUCUGAAGGAAUACCGGUGGCGAAGGCGGCCCCCUGGACAGAUACUGACACUCAGAUGCGAAAGCGUGGGGAGCAAACAGGAUUAGAUACCCUGGUAGUCCACGCCGUAAACGAUGUCUACUUGGAGGUUGUGGCCUUGAGCCGUGGCUUUCGGAGCUAACGCGUUAAGUAGACCGCCUGGGGAGUACGGUCGCAAGAUUAAAACUCAAAUGAA